Molecule: ribosomal RNA, 379 nt
Filed under: uncultured bacterium
Lineage: Bacteria
Description: bacterial SSU rRNA
Rfam family: Bacterial small subunit ribosomal RNA
Source: RNAcentral
AUUGAACGCUAGCGGGAUGCCUUACACAUGCAAGUCGAACGGCAGCGCGGACUUCGGUCUGGCGGCGAGUGGCGAACGGGUGAGUAAUGUAUCGGAACGUGCCCAGUAGCGGGGGACAACCACUCGAAAGAGUGGCUAAUAUCGCAUACGCCUACGGGGAAGGGGGGAGUCGAAGACCUCUCACUAUUGGAGCGGCCGAUAUCGGAUUAGCUAGUUGGUGGGUAAAGGCCUACCAAGGCGACGAUCCGUAGCUGGUUUGAGAGGACGACCAGCCACACUGGGACUGAGACACGGCCCAGACUCCUACGGGAGGCAGCAGUGGGGAAGUUUUGGACAAUGGGGGAAACCCUGAUCCAGCCAUUCCGCGUGUGCGAUGAAG